CUGAAUCCCAAAUAUUCUCUGAAUCCCGCAAGAACUCAACGGGAACUCAAGGCGCCUGAGGCAGCAGGAUACGCCCUAUUCCUAGCAGGAAUCACCUUAAACCUGGAAACGCCCUAAACCCAGAAAGCCCUAAAUCCCGAUCCGCCCUAAACCCUGAUCCACCCUAAACCUGGAUCCGCCCUGGUCCUUGAGCAAGGUCACCUUUCAUGCAAAGUCACUGCAAAUGACCUGGGUCCACCAUGGAGAGUCCUUCCUCUAAGCAACAUGGAGUAGGCUGACAAAGAAAUUGCGAUGCGUCAUUCCUACUUGGCAAUGGCUCUCAGCAGUGUCCUCUUCCCUCUUCCCAUCUGGGUUGAUUAGUGACUGAAUGGUUCAGGAAGGGCCACAUGUGGAAUUUGUGGAAACUUGCUAGUGGAAGUUGCCUUCUCCCACCCAAGCACUCUUAAAUUUUAUUUCUAGCUUUGAAGUGAUUUAUCACUUGAGCCUGACUUAUCAGCAUUUUCUCUUCAUUUCUUAAAAUUAUGAACAAUGUAUAUAUCAUUCUCUAAUUGCAGGCCACUAGUGAGGAAAGCAAGUGCACAUCAGCUGCCCAGGGAUCAAGAUUUGGAUUGUUUCAAACCUGUAUUACAUUCACCCAGCAUGUUUAUUGAAAUUAUUGCUUUAUGGCAUGGCUAAGCUUUGCUUUUCUUAUCCUUGAACAUGAUCUGAUAAGUUAAAAAGACCAGGACAUGGAGGGUUGCCUCCUUUUUCUUGAUGCUUCUUAAUUGUCAAAGAUUUUGGCAACAAAACUCCAAAUACUUAAAACUGUCACUAACAAGCUGGAUGUGGCAAUACAUGACUGUAGUCUCAGUUUCUGGAGAGGCUGAGGCAGUAGGAUUACCAGAGCCCAGGAGGUUAUGGCCAUCCUGACCAACAUAAUGAGAUCCU
Molecule: long non-coding RNA, 927 nt
Filed under: Marmota monax (woodchuck)
Lineage: Eukaryota; Metazoa; Chordata; Mammalia; Rodentia; Sciuridae
Source: RNAcentral